Alligator mississippiensis (American alligator) is the source of this 376-nucleotide long non-coding RNA. RefSeq lists it as uncharacterized. NCBI's taxonomy places the organism in Eukaryota, Metazoa, Chordata, Crocodylia, Alligatoridae. The record is from RefSeq and is a predicted model, not a curated record. The transcript has 3 exons.
CACUGCCUGGCCAGAGGGCUGCUGGUAUCAUCUGGAGGUAAGGGAGGAGCUGAAGAGGAUGGUUUGGAGGCUCCAGGUCCUAGGCGUGACCUAAACCUGCACCCUGCUGGCAGUGAGUGGCCUAGUGGAGCUCUCAGUGGUGCGGGAGCCCCCAGGAAAUGCCAAGCCAGUGACCACCCCGGUGAAAGUAACGCUUGACCCCUGGCUCGCUGGCUUCCUUCAGGACUGUCCUCUGGAUGCAAGACUCCAGUUCCAAUCUUGGAUCUUAUCAUUGGGUCUGACAGCCCAUGUGCCAGUAGAAUAACAAAUGGAAGGCACGUGGAGAUUUGUUUCCCCUCCUGAGUCCAAAAGCAACCAAGCAAUCCAAGAUCCUCUG